UAAAAAGCUUCAAACUGGGAUUAGAUACCCCACUAUGCUCAGCCGUAAACCCAGACGUUAAAUUACAAUAAACGUCCGCCAGGGUACUACAAGCGUUAGCUUAAAACCCAAAGGACUUGGCGGUGCCUCAGACCCCCCUAGAGGAGCCUGUUCUAGAACCGAUAACCCCCGUUAAACCUCNCCACAUCUAGUCAUCCCCGCCUAUAUACCGCCGUCGUCAGCUUACCCUGUGAAGGUACAACAGUAAGCUAAAUGGAUACAGUCCAAAACGCCAGGUCGAGGUGUAGCGCACGAAGUGGGAAGAAAUGGGCUACAUUUUCUAUGCAAGAAUAUUAACGAAUAGUAACCUGAAAACAUACUUGAAGGAGGAUUUAGUAGUAAAAAGGAAAUAGAGUGUCCUUUGAACCCGGCAUCAGGAGCGUCCA
RNAcentral lists this ribosomal RNA (425 nucleotides) under Nemacheilus sp. YYS-2002. RNAcentral describes it as "partial 12S ribosomal RNA". It matches the Rfam family "Bacterial small subunit ribosomal RNA", at positions 753 to 1387 of the family's 1533-position model. The record is from RNAcentral. Lineage: Eukaryota; Metazoa; Chordata; Actinopteri; Cypriniformes; Nemacheilidae.